GGAUUGACAUGUUGGUCGUGCCUUAAGGGGUAUGAACUGGCAUUGUCGAUUUCUCACCUUCUGGAGAAUCACGAUGCUCUUAAUUGGGUGUCGUGUGGAUCCAGGACCUUUACCUUGAAAAAAUUAGAGUGUUUAAAGCAGGCAUUUUGCUCGAAUACAUUAGCAUGGAAUAAUAAAAUA
Molecule: ribosomal RNA, 180 nt
Filed under: uncultured Glomeromycotina
Lineage: Eukaryota; Fungi; Glomeromycota
Description: partial small subunit ribosomal RNA
Source: RNAcentral